UGGGGAAUAUUGGACAAUGGGGGGAACCCUGAUCCAGCCAUGCCGCGUGUGUGAAGAAGGCCUUCUGGUUGUAAAGCACUUUAAGCGAGGAGGAGGGUACUGGUAUUAAUACUACCAGCUACUGGACGUUACUCGCAGAAUAAGCACCGGCUAACUCUGUGCCAGCAGCCGCGGUAAUACAGAGGGUGCGAGCGUUAAUCGGAUUUACUGGGCGUAAAGCGUGCGUAGGCGGCUAAUUGAGUCGGAUGUGAAAUCCCCGAGCUUAACUUGGGAAUUGCAUUCGAUACUGGUUAGCUAGAGUGUGGGAGAGGAUGGUAGAAUUCCAGGUGUAGCGGUGAAAUGCGUAGAGAUCUGGAGGAAUACCGAUGGCGAAGGCAGCCAUCUGGCCUAACACUGACGCUGAGGUACGAAAGCAUGGGGAGCAAACAGG
Molecule: ribosomal RNA, 430 nt
Filed under: Pseudomonadota bacterium
Lineage: Bacteria; Pseudomonadati; Pseudomonadota
Description: Proteobacteria bacterium partial 16S ribosomal RNA
Rfam family: Bacterial small subunit ribosomal RNA
Source: RNAcentral